Molecule: long non-coding RNA, 402 nt
Organism: Vicia villosa (hairy vetch)
Lineage: Eukaryota; Viridiplantae; Streptophyta; Magnoliopsida; Fabales; Fabaceae
Exons: 2
Source: RefSeq, a predicted model, not a curated record
UGUUAUUUGUUUUAGGGUUUGAAGCUCUAUGAAGCCAUAACAAGGUGAAGGAUGGGAAACUCCCAAAAUUGGAGAGAGAAAGGUGAAGGAUGGGAAACUCCCAAAAUUGGAGAGAGAAAGGUGAAGGAUGGGAAACUCCCGAAAUUGGAGAUUAUUUUGGAGAUUUUCUCUACGCGAGUUUUAUUGGGAUCAUUGAGGUGACAAGGCUACUAUGAGUAGGAUAAUUAUCAGAAAUCGCGGUUUGUCUACAAUCUGCGAUCUGCGGUUUCAUUUCUUCUAUCACGGUUUCGUAGCAAAGAUUUAUUAGGAUUGUUUUUUGGAAUAUUUGGUUUUGAUUAUUGUCUUAAAACUAGGUUGAGAACAUUUUGAGGUUUAUGAAAUUAUAAUUUUUUUAUUUGUUUA